AUUGAACGCUGGCGGCAGGCCUAACACAUGCAAGUCGGACGGUAACAGGAAGCAGCUUGCUGCUUUGCUGACGAGUGGCGGACGGGUGAGUAAUGUCUGGGAAACUGCCUGAUGGAGGGGGAUAACUACUGGAAACGGUAGCUAAUACCGCAUAACGUCGCAAGACCAAAGAGGGGGACCUUAGGGCCUCUUGCCAUCAGAUGUGCCCAGAUGGGAUUAGCUUGUUGGUGGGGUAACGGCUCACCAAGGCGACGAUCCCUAGCUGGUCUGAGAGGAUGACCAGCCACACUGGAACUGAGACACGGUCCAGACUCCUACGGGAGGCAGCAGUGGGGAAUAUUGCACAAUGGGCGCAAGCCUGAUGCAGCCAUGCCGCGUGUAUGAAGGAGGCCUUCGGGUUGUAAAGUACUUUCAGCGGGGAGGAAGGGGAGAAGGUUAAUAACCUUUUUCAUUGACGUUACCCGCAGAAGAAGCACCGGCUAACUCCGUGCCAGCCGCCGCCGUAA
This 506-nucleotide ribosomal RNA is filed under the name uncultured bacterium. RNAcentral's name for it is "partial 16S ribosomal RNA". It matches the Rfam family "Bacterial small subunit ribosomal RNA", at positions 30 to 523 of the family's 1533-position model. The record is from RNAcentral.